RNAcentral lists this transfer RNA (74 nucleotides) under Candidatus Jacksonbacteria bacterium RIFOXYB2_FULL_44_15. RNAcentral's name for it is "tRNA-Ala". It matches the Rfam family "tRNA". From Rfam's summary of the family: Transfer RNA (tRNA) molecules are approximately 80 nucleotides in length. Their secondary structure includes four short double-helical elements and three loops (D, anti-codon, and T loops). RNAcentral also lists the same sequence under 2 other names. The record is from RNAcentral. Lineage: Bacteria; Candidatus Jacksoniibacteriota.
GGGCCUAUAUUUUAGUGGUAGAAUACCUCUUUUGCAAGGAGGAGGCGGCAGUCCGAUUCUGCCUAGGUCCACCA